Molecule: ribosomal RNA, 484 nt
Filed under: uncultured bacterium
Lineage: Bacteria
Description: partial 16S ribosomal RNA
Rfam family: Bacterial small subunit ribosomal RNA
Source: RNAcentral
GAUGAACGCUGGCGGCGUGCUUAACACAUGCAAGUCGAACGGAAAGGCGCCUUUGGUGGUACUCGGGUGGUGGACGGGGACGUAACACGUACGUAACCUUCCCCUGACUAUGGGACAACGUCAGGUAAGUGGGGCCAGUACUGGAACGGAAUCAUAGUUUCAAGCGGGGGGUUGGAAAGCUUAGGAGGGUCUUGCUGGACCCGCGGUGUAUAAGCUCGUUGGAAUGGCAGUGGCUUACCAAGGCAACGUAGCAUGGCCGACCUGAGAGGGCGACCGGCCACACUGGAACGGAGACACGGUCCAGACUCCUACGGGAGGCAGCAGUAGGGAAUCUUCCGCAAUGGGCGAAAGCCUGACGGAGCAACGCCGCGUGAGUGAUGAAGGUCUUCGGAUCGUAAAACUCUGUUAUUAGGGAAGAACAUAUGUGUAAGUAACUGUGCACAUCUUGACGGUACCUAAUCAGAAAGCCACGGCUAACUACGUG